This 70-nucleotide ribosomal RNA is filed under the name Aeromonas salmonicida. RNAcentral's name for it is "partial 23S ribosomal RNA". Lineage: Bacteria; Pseudomonadati; Pseudomonadota; Gammaproteobacteria; Aeromonadales; Aeromonadaceae. The record is from RNAcentral.
AGUGAUGUGUUGAGCUAACCCAUACUAAUUACCCGUGAGGCUUAACCAUACAACACCCAAGAAGUGUUCU